RNAcentral lists this ribosomal RNA (276 nucleotides) under uncultured bacterium. RNAcentral describes it as "partial 16S ribosomal RNA". It matches the Rfam family "Bacterial small subunit ribosomal RNA", at positions 44 to 334 of the family's 1533-position model. The record is from RNAcentral.
GUGCCUAACACAUGCAAGUCGAACGAGAAAGUGGAGCAAUCCAUGAGUAAAGUGGCGCACGGGUGAGUAACACGUGACUAACCUACCCUGGAGUGGGGGAUAACUGAGGGAAACCUUAGCUAAUACCGCAUAAUACCUACGGGUCAAAGGAGCAAUUCGCUUUGGGAGGGGGUCGCGGCCGAUUAGUUAGUUGGCGGGGUAAUGGCCCACCAAGACGAUGAUCGGUAUCCGGCCUGAGAGGGCGCACGGACACACUGGAACUGAAACACGGUCCAG